UUUAUGCUCUCAGCCAAUUGCAAAGCUGCUCUCUUCUCUGUCCCGCCUACCACUUCCUCUCAUCUUUCUGUCUUUCAUCAUCACCAUGCUUCCUGUACGUAUCCUGUUCCUGUACUCCCAGACCAGCGUGCUUGGUGCAAGAACUCUGAAGACAAGAUUGGCUGGUUUCGCUUCUUCCUCACCCUGGAUCCCUUAUAGGAAUCACAGAUGGAUGAUUUGAGAUGAGCCUUAAAGGAAAGGAAAAUGUAUCUUUCUCUCCACCAGCAUCAACUGUAAGAGAGAAUUUGGGGCCUGAAGAUUAAAAGAUUUGCCCUGUCUCCGAUCUGCAUUACAAGGACUCUGAAGUUAUGUCCAGGAAAGGCUAUACUAAAAACAGGAUAAAUAAUAAAACUAGAUUGAAUGGAUGUGUAAAAGUUGGG
RNAcentral lists this long non-coding RNA (419 nucleotides) under Chrysemys picta bellii (western painted turtle). RNAcentral's name for it is "lncRNA (ENSCPBG00000024619.1)". The record is from RNAcentral. Lineage: Eukaryota; Metazoa; Chordata; Testudines; Emydidae.